AUUGAACGCUGGCGGCAGGCCUAACACAUGCAAGUCGAACGGUAACAGGAAGAAGCUUGCUUCUUUGCUGACGAGUGGCGGACGGGUGAGUAAUGUCUGAGAAACUGCCUGAUGGAGGGGGAUAACUACUGGAAACGGUAGCUAAUACCGCAUAACGUCGCAAGACCAAAGAGGGGGACCUUCGGGCCUCUUGCCAUCGGAUGUGCCCAGAUGGGAUUAGCUAGUAGGUGGGGUAACGGCUCACCUAGGCGACGAUCCCUAGCUGGUCUGAGAGGAUGACCAGCCACACUGGAACUGAGACACGGUCCAGACUCCUACGGGAGGCAGCAGUGGGGAAUAUUGCACAAUGGGCGCAAGCCUGAUGCAGCCAUGCCGCGUGUAUGAAGAAGGCCUUCGGGUUGUAAAGUACUUUCAGCGGGGAGGAAGGGAGUAAAGUUAAUACCUUUGCUCAUUGACGUUACCCGCAGAAGAAGCACCGGCUAACUCCGUG
Molecule: ribosomal RNA, 490 nt
Filed under: uncultured bacterium
Lineage: Bacteria
Description: partial 16S ribosomal RNA
Rfam family: Bacterial small subunit ribosomal RNA
Source: RNAcentral